RNAcentral lists this ribosomal RNA (432 nucleotides) under uncultured bacterium. RNAcentral's name for it is "partial 16S ribosomal RNA". It matches the Rfam family "Bacterial small subunit ribosomal RNA", at positions 29 to 507 of the family's 1533-position model. The record is from RNAcentral.
AGCGAACGCUGGCGGCAGGCCUAACACAUGCAAGUCGAACGGAUCCUUCGGGAUUAGUGGCGGACGGGUGAGUAACACGUGGGAACGUGCCCUUUGGUUCGGAACAACUCAGGGAAACUUGAGCUAAUACCGGAUGUGCCCUUCGGGGGAAAGAUUUAUCGCCAUUGGAGCGGCCCGCGUCUGAUAGCUAGUUGGUGAGGUAACGGCCCACCAAGGCGACGAUCAGUAGCUGGUCUGAGAGGAUGAUCAGCCACACUGGGACUGAGACACGGCCCAGACUCCUACGGGAGGCAGCAGUGGGGAAUCUUGCGCAAUGGGCGAAAGCCUGACGCAGCCAUGCCGCGUGAAUGAUGAAGGUCUUAGGAUUGUAAAAUUCUUUCAGCGGGGACGAUAAUGACGGUACCCGCAGAAGAAGCUCCGGCUAACUUCGUG